This 443-nucleotide ribosomal RNA is filed under the name uncultured bacterium. RNAcentral's name for it is "partial 16S ribosomal RNA". It matches the Rfam family "Bacterial small subunit ribosomal RNA", at positions 338 to 795 of the family's 1533-position model. The record is from RNAcentral.
CCUACGGGAGGCUGCAGUGGGGAAUAUUGGUCAAUGGGCGCAAGCCUGACCCAGCAACGUCGCGUGAAGGAAGAAGGCUCUCGGGUUGUAAACUUUUUUUUACAGGGACGUAGCAAGUGACGCUUCCUGUGUUAUAAGCCUCCGCUAACUACGUGCCAGCAGCCGCGGUAAUACGUAGGUGGCAAGCGUUAUCCGGAUUUACUGGGUGUAAAGGGUGUGUAGGCGGGAAAGCAAGUCAGAUGUGAAAACCAUGGGCUCAACCUGUAGAAUGCCUUUGAAACUGUUUUUCUUGAGUACUGGAGAGGCAGACGGAAUUCCUAGUGUAGCGGUGAAAUGCGUAGAUAUUAGGAGGAACACCAGUGGCGAAGGCGGUCUGCUGGAUAGCAACUGACGCUGAGGCGCGAAAGCGUGGGGAGCAAACAGGAUUAGAUACCCGUGUAGUC